This 1651-nucleotide long non-coding RNA is filed under the name Anser brachyrhynchus (Pink-footed goose). RNAcentral describes it as "lncRNA (ENSABRG00000009877.1)". Lineage: Eukaryota; Metazoa; Chordata; Aves; Anseriformes; Anatidae. The record is from RNAcentral.
GGAAGGAAGGAAGGAAGGAGCUAUAUAAGCAUAUAAAAAUCUUAGUUUAGGUAGAAUAUAAUUUGAUUUUUUUAUGGUGCAGGUGAGACAUCUAGUGACUAUUUUGUGUUAUUAAAAUACAAAGACCUCUUCCAAAUCAUUGAAAUGUCCUGUUGGUGAUAUAUACGUCUUUACAUCCUUUCCACAAAUCCACUGACAAAACACUUGCCAGUUCUGUGAACUAAUAAAGCAUGGUCUGGAAAACAAGGAUCAAACAUCAGUGGCUUCUGUGCGUACAGAAUCUCUUUUCUCCUUUCCCCAGAUAUCUUCAGAGGCCUUAGACUCCACAAUAAAUAUAUCCAUAAGAAUGCUAGUAAAGUCAAUCUAGGUUUGCAACACUGACACUGAGGGCACAUUUUAGUUCCUAAGUACCAAUACAAAUCUCUUCCUCAUGCUGUUUUGCUGAUGUAAAGAAUCUGCCUUGGAACAUCUGUGAAGUCAGGCAACAAGUGUUAUCUUCAACUGAAUCUUUCUUGCCAGAAACCACCUCUCUGCAGUGGAAGACUGUCCUGAAUCACAGACAUGAAUUAGGCUGUUGUGAUGGGCCAGAGCUACAAAAGAUGCCCUUUGCAAGAGAGUUCCCCAUUCCCUACAGGCAUUUCAAGGACAGUACAAGGUCAAAUGCAAACUCACCUGCAACCCUGCUAUUUCAUGAACCAAAUCUCACAGCUGUCCUAGGCAGUGAUGUGCUGUUGCAUAGCCUGAGCAAGAGCAGAUGCCACAUUCUUGCUGUGAGUGCCAAGCAGAAUUUGUGGGUUGUGCCGUGCCUGCAUCCGGACAAGGAGCAUGGCAGCACAGUGAUGUCUGUGCAUGGCAUAGAUCUGAAGACAUUUCUUCAAAAUGGCAAGUGAGGUGAUUUAUGCAGAGGUAUCACGUGAGGAAAGAAUGCGUUUUACUUCACAAAAUUCAGACGCAGGUAACAAAUGGUCAUCUUAAUAUUACUUCUUUUUCUUUGUUCCGUGACACAUUCUUAAAUCUUUCAUUCUUUCUUUGAACGGAAACAUUCAUAAGAAGCUGAAGUCUUGUUAAAAGCAUUUUUAAGAAUAUUAGUAUCUAUCUAUUACAUAUCCAUUUGCUUGGAAAUUUUUUUCUUAUUAGUAGAAGGAAAAUUGAAUUCUAGCAAAAGUAAAGACUGACCUCUAAAAUCCCACUCUGGAUUUCAAUAGUAUAGCUAAAAAGUGCUGUUUCUGAAUUGCAUUAACAAUUAGAAAUUCAAGAUAUUAAUACAAAUUAUUGAAAACUCAUUGGCAGUUACAGUGCAGUGAUGACACUGAGAUUUUCUCUCCUGUAGUGUAUAUUUUACUUUGAUUAAUUUUCUUGAUUUUAUAUUUUACUUUGAUUAAUUUUCUUAGACUCCAGAAAUAAUUUUAAAUUGUAAAACAAUAGGUCUUUCUUCCUUACUUUUAUUUCAUUCUUUCUUUCUCUCUGUCUGUCUCUGUCUUUCUUUCUCUUCUGCAAGUUAAAUGUUGAGAAAAACAGAGGUCAAUAAUCAGUAGAAGUUUCUAUAAUUUUCAAAAUUUAGUCAUGUGUACGACCUAUUGAUGUCUGCUACUAUAAAACUACAUUACUUUAAAAAUAUUUUUUUCAAGAAAUAAAGUGACAAAGAUAUCCA